AGGCGUCGCGUAGUGGCCGAGCGCGCCGGCUUGAAAAGCCGGUGAGGGUGGAAAUCCUCCGUGGGUUCGAAUCCCACCGCCUGGCCA
This is a transfer RNA of 87 nucleotides. It matches the Rfam family "tRNA". Rfam says of the family: Transfer RNA (tRNA) molecules are approximately 80 nucleotides in length. Their secondary structure includes four short double-helical elements and three loops (D, anti-codon, and T loops). Further hydrogen bonds mediate the characteristic L-shaped molecular structure. tRNAs have two regions of fundamental functional importance: the anti-codon, which is responsible for specific mRNA codon recognition, and the 3' end, to which the tRNAs corresponding amino acid is attached (by aminoacyl-tRNA synthetases). tRNAs cope with the degeneracy of the genetic code in two manners: having more than one tRNA (with a specific anti-codon) for a particular amino acid; and 'wobble' base-pairing, i.e. permitting non-standard base-pairing at the 3rd anti-codon position.